RNAcentral lists this long non-coding RNA (1462 nucleotides) under Triticum aestivum (bread wheat). Its description in RNAcentral is "long non-coding RNA (TAES_LNC003965)". Lineage: Eukaryota; Viridiplantae; Streptophyta; Magnoliopsida; Poales; Poaceae. The record is from RNAcentral.
UAUCUUGUCGCUGCUGCCUACCUGCGCCUGGAUCCAAAGUCCAAACCCUAGCCGCCUCUCUCUCUCUCUCCCCUCACAGGCUCAGAUCUCCUACCACCACCAUGGAAGGCUCUCUCCUCAGAUCCAUGGAAUGGCUUCACUCUUCCUUCCUUCCUUCCAACAGCCUGCGGCCGCCGGCGCACCCUUCUUCCAUGGCGAUGGCGAGAGGGAUGGGAUCUAGCCCCGCCCAGCCCCGCCGGCAGCAGCGUGCGUCCCACAACUACUCCAGAUGGGAAACAGCACGGUCCGCUCCCGGCCGGAGACUCUCGCAGCGGCCGGAGCGCCAACGUUUGCCGACCUUCAUCGCCUUUUCUCUUGGUCUGAUGGGUGAGUCCUCUGCUAUUCUUUCAUCUAAUCUAAUCUAACCUAAUCUAAGAAAACAAAUCCAUUCUUCUUUCUUGUCUUGCAGGUUGGUUUGGUUCCAUCUCUCUCUCUCUAUUUUAUGUUACACAAGUAUUACACAUGGAUGGAUAUUUCCCAUCCAUCGAGUAAAACGAAUAUCCCAGCCCUGUUAGGCCGUCUCCUGUGUAUGUAUGUGCAGAGUUUUUUUGUUUUUGAUUUGUUAUAAUCUUCUGUAUGUAUAUCACCGGAGGACAAAGUAAAAGAAAAUAAAUCCUUCUUCACAAGAAGAUUCACCCGAUCGAGUACUGUUUUCAGGCUGUUUGGAUCUUUCGGAAUUUUUCCUAAAAGGAUUUCAAACUCUUUCAAAGCAUUCUUGCAGUCUUUUGUCUUUUAUAAGAAAAAUAAUAAUAUAAAUCUCAAACCUCUUCUUUGCAAUUCCCUUAUUACUUCUUUUGGUGGUGAAACACUCUUUGCUGAGUUUUUUUCUUUUUCUUUUGCCACACCCCUUAGUACCACUUAACUUAUAUAGGUCCUAAUACAUACAUACAGAGAUAACAAUCCAAAGUAAUCCCUCCGUCCCAUAAUAUAAGACGCUUUUUGACACUACACUAGUGUUAGAAAAACAUCUUACAUUAUGGGACGGCGUAGUACAUUUUAUUUGCCUAGCUCUCUGUCGCUCAGCCUUUUUAUCUUAGCACUUACCCUCACAUUCUUUAAUGUCAUUUUUCACCAGCGCCGGGGAGGGAGUUAUUGGCUAGCAUUUGUGUUAGUGAAUGGAGGAUAGAUGCUUGCUUGAUACUACUCCCUCUGUAAAGAAAUAUAAGAUUAGUAGUGAUCUAAAUGAUCUUAUAUUUUUUUUACAUAGGGAGUACGAGUUUAGGGCCUCUUUGGCUUGGUAGUAAAAGCAGAGGAAAAUUGUUGGACUAUGAAAAUUUUCUUUGGUGCAUCUAUUUGCUUUACGAAAGAAAAAAAGGAAAAAAAAAGCAAAGAGUUUUCCUUUGGUCUAUGUCCCAAAGGCAAAAUAAAUAGAAAUUUGACAUCUACUCCCUCCGUUUGGAAUUACUUGUCGCCGAAAUGGAUG